Aedes aegypti (yellow fever mosquito) is the source of this 734-nucleotide long non-coding RNA. RefSeq lists it as uncharacterized. The record is from RefSeq and is a predicted model, not a curated record. Lineage: Eukaryota; Metazoa; Arthropoda; Insecta; Diptera; Culicidae. The transcript has 2 exons.
GGGAAACUCGGCUCACUGUGCCCGGCACAGUAUUCGGCACAACUCGGCACAUCUGGGCACCCUUCUAAUCGACAGUGAAUUGGAUUUGACAGCUGAAUCUUUGUUUUUGCUUACUACAGAAAAUGGUCGUGCGGUUCAACCAGAUUGUUGCUAUCACGAAUUUGUUUAGCAAAAAAAUCACAUCCACGAUGAGAUCCGAAACAUUAUCGUCCAUCCAAUCAUCUUGCCGGAUUUGUUUGUGACCCACUUCUGAAAAGGAACAGGUUUCAAAAUCUCUGCCAAGGAAUGCUGAGUGUAGACCUGGAAAAUAUAAUGAAAUGGUACUUGCAUGGAAUCCAGUACUGGGCCGAUACAAGACUCCCCCUUGGAUGAGAUGCCGGCCGAGGUAAGACAGCUGAAUAAGAAGAGGAAGAAGCUGUGGAGGAGUCUAAUGAUGGAGAACGUGCUUAAAUGGAUAUAAUUAAUUUAAAGUCGUGGGUAUAUGUAUAGCCAUAGCGGUUCAAAUAUAUUUUUCAAGUUUCAAAAGACAGGGUGUAUCACAUACCAUUCUGAUACAACUAGUCUUUGGCAUACAUAUCGAUAAUACGAGUCUGCAUUAACCUGCUUCAGGUCCCGCGCCGUGUACUGAAGCUUCCACUGAGAAGCAUCAACAACGGCUUUUCAUGGGCCCGUCACAUCAUCGAAAUGAUUAAAUCAGUAAUAACAAAAACCAGUAAUUAAUUUUAUUCCCUCUA